CGGUUUUAGAACUAUAGUGAUAUGAAUACAUGUUUGUAUUCCUGACUCUAAAGUGUUCCUUUAAACUGGUUUAGAGAACAGAAAGAGACUGUCUGUUUGUAUAUAACCUCCAUAUAUGUUUAUAGCUGUUAGAUUGUUAGGCUCAUUAUCGACCUUUCUCCCUAUGCUUGGUCACUUAUAAUGUCCUGUGGACAUAAUACAAAUGCUAUUUUAGUACAGACCUUUUGGCCCUUUUUUCAAUAAAGCCUUUUUGUAUGUUCCCUACUAUUUUAUAUAUACUGUUAAGUUUAAGUAAUCACUAACCGAUGAGUGAAGGAACCUCAUGAACUAUAUUUUUACCACUUACAACAAACUACACACUGUAUGGGUAUUGGGUGGUUACUUAUCAUAAGGAUGAAUUGUGCACUACUUGCAAACACCAGUUAGCAGGUCCCAUCUGUUUUAACUCUUGGAAAUGGCUAAACAUUCUCAUUUAGAAUUAAGGAUUAACCCCUGGACCUAUAUAUUUGUAUUUUUCAUUGUUCUAUUUUUUUUGAGAGCAAAAAACUUGCAGUGACUCUGUCCAAGUGUGAAAGAUUACAGCUACAAUCGAUUAGUCAGAGGUGAACAAUGAGGGCACAACUUAACUGCCUCAUACAGAAGGAGACAAUACAAAGGAUUAAGGAGACAAUCUCUGCCAUAUACACAUGAAACUAAUUAUCUGUUACUUUUAUUUUCAGAUGGAUAAUCUUGAUGACUGUCAAUUACUGGCUACCUCAUACAAAUAGUAAGGGUGACAUUGUUAUUGGUAAAGUACAUUUCAUUAACGAAACACUACCACCUAAACAUUAAAAUAGUGUAGUCGUGAAUUAAAUAUCACUAUGCUAUGUGUAAUUUUUAUAUUUUAACUAUUUAAAAAAAAAAAAAAAAGAAUUGGACACUUCACAAAGUCCCACUUGAGACAUACAGAGCUUGGAGACACUGAACGUGGGUGCUGCACACUGUGCAGCAGUGACCCAGGACUCUCUAGUGGCUGUCUGAGUGACUGUCACUAGAGGUGUUACUAAGCACAAUGUAAACCCUGCAUUUCAGCUGAAAAGGCAGGGUUUACAUUAAAAAAGCCUGCAGGGACAGGCUUUAGACUACAUCAAGCUGUAGUGUUUAUGGUGACUAUAGUGUCCCUUUAAGAAUUACAUUUUGUCUCGCUGAAAAUGACGGGCUCCUAACUUUUUUAGCGGCUCCUAGAUUGCUAACAAAAUUUUCAAGCCCUGCAAUAGCCUAUGGGAAAGCAUUGGAUUGGCUGAGAUUGUCACAUUCAAUGAUCAGGGGCAAGGCAGGGCCGGCCGAGGUGACACUGGCACGGUGCUGGAAAAAAGUAAAGUGAGUAAAGAGAGGGGGACAGUGGACCUAAAUAGUGAUUUUUCCACUAUUGCAUCAGGAAUACACAUUUGUAUUCCUGACACUAUAGUGUUCUUUUAAAAAUGGUUACACAAAUAUCAAUACAUUCUGCAUCCAUCGACUUUUGGGUUGAAACUGUACAGUCCAUGGCUGAUUUAUGGUCAAUUGUCCUCUUUUUUUUUUUUUUUUUUUAUUUCUGUGCCCAAUGGAUUUACAGUGAUAUACAGGUAAUGCACAAAAGUAAUUAUCUACCUCCUGAAAUGGCGAGUGAGGUUACUCUACGGUAGCUGUUUUGUACCAUGUCUCUUUUUGUUUGAAGUUAAUGGGAGUUGUAGUCAAUAUUAGAAUAUUGGGGAAACAAAAAUAAUCUUCAGAUCUUAUGCAUAAAAGAUCAGCUCACCAUAAGUUUCUACCUCUUUUUUUCUUUAUUUUUGGUGUAUACGUAUUAAGCUGCAGGUCUAGGAAGAACUGUUAACCCCUUAAGGACAGAGGAUAUUGUCCAAGUUCUGAACCAAAAUGAAACCUAGGAUUUGAGCUAUAUGUCUGGUCAAUCAUAAUUCACCGCUUUCAUAUUAAUUGCACCCACACUUAUUAUUAAUCAUUUUGUUCAGGAGAAACAGGGCAUUAAUUUCCCAUCAAAAUUUUAUUUAUGAAGCAUAAUUUUAUAUGAUUAACCCCUUAAGGACCGAGGACGGUUCAGGACCGUCAUCGGCAUUUUCCCAUUGCCGACCGAUGACGGUCCUGAACCGUCCCAACGGUCUUAGUUACUUACCUGAUCGCCGUCGUUCCCCCGUCGGCGAUCAGCGUUGCUCCCGUUGUGGGACAGUCUCCCCACGCUGGAUUAGGACCCCUGUGGCCAUGUGAUCACUUAACACAGCGAUCACAUGGUCACAAUAGAUGUCUGCCUGCAGGGGGACUGUCUGUGCUGACAGGCAGUCUCCCUGCAUGUGUAAAAUCAAUAAAAAAAAUAAAGUUAGUGUUAAUAAAAAUUAAAAAAAAUUAUAUGUGUGUGCGUAUGUGUGUAUAUAUAUAUAUAUAUAUAUAUAUGAUAUAUAGACAUAUAUUAUAUAUAUAUUUAUAUAUAAUAUAUGUCUAUAUAUCAUAUGUAUAUAAUGUCAUACUAAGUGUAUUUUUAUAUUAAUAUGUACUUAUAUUAAUAUAAAAAUACACUUAUAAUUAAAUUAAACACGUAUAUAUAUAAUAUAUAUAAUAACUUUAUAUAUUGUGUAUAUAUAUAUAUUGUAAAAUAUAAAUAAUAAGUAAUUUAAAUAAAUUUUUAAAAAAAAUAAUAAAAAUUGAAAAAAAAUUAUAUCUAUAUGAAAUUUUAUUCUAACUGUAUUUUAAAAUUUAUAUAUAUUUAUAUCAAAAUAAACUUAGAAUGAAUUUGUAUAUAUAUCUAUGUAUAUAUAAAUAAAUAAAAAUAAUACGAAAUAUACAUGUCCAUGUACAAAAUUACAUAAAUAAUUAUAUAAAUAUACACGUAGACUUCAGCUAUAUAAAUAUGCAUAUAUAUUUAAAUUCUACGUGCGUAUUUAUGUAAUAUUUUUACAUAAGUAAUUUUAUUGAUUGCAAUUUGAGAGACCUGCCUGCCAACCCAGGCCGAAAGUCCAGAGAAUUUAAUUUGCUAGCACUGUAUUUUACCCUUUAACGUUCUACGACUUCCUAAAACCUGUACAUGGGGGGUACUGUUUUACUCGGGAGACUUCGCUGAACACAAAUAUUAGUGAUUCAAAACAGUAAAACAUAUCACAGCGAUGAUAUUGUCAGUGAAAGUGACUUUUUUUGCAUUUUUCACACACAAACAGCACUUUUACUGAUAAUAUAAUUGUUUUGAUACGUUUUCCAGUUUUUCCCGAGUAAAACAGCACCCCACAUGUACAGGUUUUAUCGCAUUUUUGAAAGUUACAGGGUCAAAUAUAUCGGUCAAAUAUUUUUACAUUGAAAAUGGCCAGGUUGGUUACAUUGCCUUUCAGAACGUAUGGUAGCCCAGGAAUGAGAAUUACCCCCAUGAUGGCAUACCAUUUGCAAAAGAAGACAACCCAAGGUAUUGCAAAUGGGGUAUGUCAAGUCUUUUUUAGUAACCACUUGGUCACAAACACUGGCCAAAAUUAGCGUUCAAUUUAGUUUUUUUACUUUUUUCACACACAAACAAAUAUGAAUGCUUACUUUGGCCAGUGUUUUCGACUAAGUGGCUACUAAAAAAGACUGGACAUACCCCAUAUUGAAUACCCUGGGUUGUCUACUUUAAAAAAAAAUACGUACAUGUGGGGUGUUAUUCAGAGAUUUAUGACAGAUAAUAGUGUUACAAUGUCACUAUUGAUAAAUUUUAAAAAUGUAUGUUUUGAAACCACAAUAUCCUACUUGUACCUAUAGCCCUAUAACAUGCAAAAAAAAGCACGUAAACACUGGGUAUUUUUAAACUCAGGACAAAACUUUGAAUCUAUUUAGCAGUUUUUUUCAUUCGUUUUUGUAGAUGAGUAAAAGAUUUUUCAAGUAAAAGUCAAAAAACAUGUAUUUUUUUCAAUUUUUCAUCAUAUUUUUUUUUAAUUAAAAUACAUGAGAUUAUAUAAAUAAUGGUAUGUAAAGAAAGCCCCUUUUGUCCUGAAAAAAAAAUAUAUAAUUUGUGUGGGAACAGUAAAUGAGAGAGCGGAAAAUUACAGCCAAACACAAACACCACAAAAGUGUAAAAAUAUGCCUGGUCGCUAAUGUACAACAUCGCAAAAACAGUCCAGUCCUUAAGGGGUUAAAAUCUAAGAAAUGUUCAUUUUUCAAUUUCUGCGUGCAGGGUCGUCUUUAAUAUUGAUUGGACCCUGGGCAAAGCAUUUGCUUGGGCCUUCUGGACCCUGUACAACCUCCCCAGGUGUGCAAUCACCCUUAACGCAGUGGCAUCCUAAAGUAGAGAGGUGCAAGAAUAUUUUUUGGGCUCUCCAUAUUGCAAAGAUGUUUAAAAGGUAGAUCUACAUUGACACACAUUCACAGACACACACAGGCAUACUGACACAUACACUGACAGACAUAUUGAAACACACAUAUACAAAGACAUACGGACAUACAUUCACAGGCAUACUGACACACACACUGACAGACAUACUGACACACACAGGCAGACAUACUGACACAUACAUUGACAGACAUACUGACAUAGACAUAUACUGAGACAUUCACAGAUACACACACACUGACAGGCAUACUGACACAUACACUGACAGACAUUCUAACGCACACAGGCAGACAUACUGACAGACCUAUUGACACACACAAGCAGAAAUACUGACACAUAGACUGACAGACAUAAUGACACACACAGGCAGACAUACUGACACAUACACUGACAGACAUAAUGACAUACAGACAUAUACUGAGACAUUCACAGGUACACACACACACUGGCAGACAUACUGACACACACACACACAGACACACAAAAUUUACACUAUUAAACCCACCCUCCAGUGUCCUACCUUGGAGGAUGAUGUUCCCACUGGUGGCUGAAGCUGUUGGGAGUUGGGGGUCUAGCUAGUUCGGCUCGGCCCAGAUGCCCUCCGCUCUUCCUCUUCCUCCUCCCACGCGGCUCCUCUCUUUAUGGGAGGAAGUGACUUGCGGCCGUCACUUCAGCCCAGCUGACGAAAAGCGAGAGGGCCAGAUCGCAAGACUGGGCCCCCGCUCACAGAAGCCCACCGGGUGGUCCUUAGUGCAUGGGCCACCCGGUUGGCCUCCUUAGUGUGGCUCACCGGCGGGUGGGAGUAACUGGGCCCGGGGCAGCUGCCUCGUUUUCCCCGCGGUUCAAUAAUGUCUCAUGAUUAAAACACUACCCCCAGGUUUUUAUGGAGUUUUGGAAAGUUACAAUGUCUAAUAUAGAGCUUUCCACUUUUCAGUUUUUACUCACUGAAAUUUGCUAGAUUGGUUUGCCUGGAAUGAGAAUUACCCCCAUCAUGGCAUACCAUUUGCAAAACUAGUCAAUUCUAAAUUGGGUAUGUCCAGUCUUAUUUAGUAGCUGUGACGAGACAAUCUCGCCACUGUGCAUUGGAGGAGCCUGGUUGCCCGCCUGCUGCCUUUAGACUAUGGCCCCAUGUUGAAACGCUUGAUUUUCCCCUGCAAAGACAUGAAAGCCGGGUCAUUCGGUUUGUCCUGUUUGAGCGGUGAUACGCCAGAUAGCUAUGCCAUGGAGCCCAUUCAUAUAAUGAAAGACUAUGGGAAAGACUUUGGCUCCAUGGCAAUUGAACUGUAUGUGUGUGGUCUGAGCCCAAUUCAGUAAUAAUGUGUGCUCAGACCUAAGCUAUCUGGGGAUAUGUUGCAUGUCUGUAUUUUAUGUAAUAAAUGUAACCUUGUGUAUUUUAUUGUAUUUUACUGUCUUUUUACUGCCAUGUGCUUAAUGGAGUUUUGCCUCUGUCCUUGGAGAUAAUUGGAUUACUUCCCAAUUAUCUCCAGGAUAGAAGACUCGGUGGAACUGGUUUUGGGCAGAAAAGCCAUGCUUCAUUUGGUCACAAAGGACUACGAUCUAUCUUUUGAACCAAUGGACCAAUUUGGAUGAUUUUGACAUAUGUUUGUAUUUGGAGUAUGCUGAUUCUGAAAAUGUAAGGUUUUUUUUAUGUGAAUGUGAUGCAUACUUUUCAAGUUAUGAAUAAUGUGGAAAAAUUGUAUUUCUCUGCUUGUGAUAAUUACAUUACCCAUUGUGUAAGGUAAUUGUAUCACAGGCAGAGGGGAGGAUUUUGUGUGGGAGUGUCUGAGUGUUUUGUAUGUGUUUAUUGGUUGUGUUCCAAAACCCUGUGGGUGGUACUAAUGUGUAUAUAAGAACAAUAAACCCACAGCUCUGUCUGUUCACUGCUUGACCCUCGACACGGAGCUUUGUCUUGUUCUUGGGGGGAUUUAUCAUGCUGUUCCAGUUCGACUGCUAGGAGUGUAAACCUAUUUGUAUGGUUUUUCCUAUUCAGCUGAUUACAGCAUUCAUAUGGUUUCCUGUUCGGCGGAUUGGUGUUCUGCAGUAGCUGUGCCUGUGUCUCUGGAAGGGAAGAUCUACUAAACGGCGGUUUAGCCCUUUUAUGUCUGGGGGUGCCGUUACAGUAGCCAUUUAGUCACAAACCCUGUAACGAUAUGAAAAUCGGGUACACCAAAACAAUCUCGAUCUUACUUACAAAACACAUAUAACCUUAUAACAGAGCUCCCGUACUCCAACUGAGUACCUCUGCCAGGUCAACCUAAUCUCUGUUACCAGGGACUCUGGAGUGCUUCAGACCCAGUCACCAAAGCUGGACUGAGGGUUUUGAGGGCCUCUCUUACCGGACCAGGCUGCUGCCCCCCUUUUCCAGCUAGGUAUUGUCCUCUGUCUUUGCCUCUUCUGUCUUUGCCCAGGGUAUUCAAAAUGUGGUAUGUCCAGUCUUUUUUAGUAGUCACUUAGCCACAAUUUGCCUGGCUAUUAGUUUUUUUGCAUUUUUCACACAAAAACGGCACUUUCACCGAUGAUAUCAUCAUCAUCGUGAUACAUUUUAGUACUCUAAAACACUAAUAGUAAAACAUUCAGCUAUGUCUCAAUGUCUCACAAGUACAACAGUACCCCCUAUUUACAGAUUUUAUGGUGUUUUGGAAAGUCACAGGGUAAAUUUAAAUAUGUAAAAACUGGGCAAGCUUUUAUUUUGACCCUGUAACUUUCCACAACACCAUGAAACCUGUACAUUGGUGGCAUUGUUAUCUGUAUGAAUUUGUGUGUAUGUGUCGGUGUAUUUAUAUGCAUCUGUGUGUUAACAUGCAUGAAUAUCUGUGUAAGUAUGUAUGUAUGUGCAUACAUUCAAGCAGUCAAACACCAGCACAACAUACAAGCACACUCCUGCAAUCUAACACAAAUAUUAAAUACACACACCCCUGCAUUCAAAUUAAAAAAAUAUAUACAAACACACCCCCUCACUCAAACACAAAUACCUCACACAAAUGUACAUCCGCAUUUAAAUGUGAACAUUACAUUCAGACACAUCCCUGCAAUCAAACGCAAACAUUACAUACAAACACACCCCUGUAUUAAAACACAAUAAAUGUAUACAAGCACCCCUUCAAACACCAUCACUGUACAUUACACUAUAGCGCCAGUAAAUGCCGCAGCGCUGUACAGAUAUACAACCUAGAAAUUUUGACUUGGGGUGCCUUGGAAAAGUACUGAAAUACUAAGGGCGCCUUGAGCCUAAAAAGUUUGGGAACCAUUAGAUUAAUCUGUCUCACAGUCACAGCUCUCCUGAGUAAAAAUAAACAUCACCUGUUUGUAUUAAACCCAGGGGCAUUUUAGCCGCGAGGUUAACAAGGCAUUUGCCUUGGGCGGCAUUUUCCAGGGGGCGGCAAAAAAAGCCGCCCCCCAAGUGCCCAGGGCAAAUGCCUUGUUAACCUCGUGGCUAACUGACAUGCUGAUCGGGCGGCUGGCGAGGUAGCUCUUUUUCUGAGCGGUCUGCUCAGCUCCCUCGCGCGCCGCAGAGUGAGGCUGGGAGCCGGAAUAUGACGUCUUAUUCCGGCUCCCAGCCUCACUCUGCGGUGCGCGAGGGAGCUGAGCAGACAGCUCAGAGGAAGUGCUCCCAACCGCGCGCCCGCCAGCCGCCCGACUGCUCAGCAGCCACUGGACCACCACUGGACCACCCUCCCCCGCCCAGCAUUCCCAAAGGUAAGGAGGCUGGGGGGCGGGGAUUUAAUAAGUAAAAAAAAUAUGUUAAUGUGAGUAAGUGUGUGUAUAUGUGUGUGUUUAAAGAUUUACAAACAAAACGUUUAUCGUGAAAUAAUUAUAGCAGCUACCACUGUGAAUAGGGACUCUCCACCCUAUAUAUACAUAUAAAAGUGAACAAAGUGUAGGAGAUUAGAAAAAACUUUGAUUGAGUCACGUGGAACGCACCGAAACCGGAAGCUUGACGGCUACCAAUAAGAAUUAUCCUGCAAAGAAGUAUGUCAGUAUGGGGAUUGGAUAAUAAGAAGAUUGGAGCACCAAUCAAAUAGAAAGACAUGAUAUUUAAACCUCCGCAAGCAGCAAACACAUUACCGAUUGAGAAAGCUGUCACAGUACAGCAAAACGCGUCUCGGCUGGAAGAAAGGACUUUUAAUUGACUUUUUAUUCAUUUUUCUUUAUAUAAUUUAAUACUUCCUUUAUUUUGUUUGCAUUAUAUUUUAAUGAAUAAAUUUUGUCCAACAUUGAAGUCCUUCUUCCAUCUUUUUGCUGGUAAAAGAAGGGUGGUAGCCUCCUUAAAGGCACAGAAACCUACAUACUAGGAGCCAGGUAUAAGGGCUCCCUACCAGGUGAGAAGCCAUUUAUUUAAAUAUUCACCAUUGAACAUUGUGAUUUACUACACAAGGAUCUCUCCUUUUUUACUUCCUUUAUGUAUGUAUAAGGACCACAGACAAGUAGAGGAUCGAUUGGGUUUUGUGUCGCCUAAAGUACACACACGCCGCUGUGAUCUGAGCCUAUCCUAAUUGGCUCAGUUACAUGUGAGUGGGUCUAUAUAGUAUAUUUACUUACUGUGUCUGUUACCCAGCGUUACUUGCACUAUUUGUAUUUAUUUGUUUCAGAUACACUGUUUCAGAGUAUCCCCUUUAUAUAUUUGUAUGCAUACCCAUAUGGGUAAGUUGGUUAACAUUUGAGCGCUCCACAUGUACACCAGUGGUGGUUUUUUCUAAUCUCCUACACUGAGUGUUCACUUUGUUCACUUUUAUAUGUAUAUGUGUGUGUGUGUCUGUUAGUGAGUGUGUGUCUGUUAGUGAGUGUGUGUCUGUUAGUGUGUUUGUCUGUUAGUGUGUGUGUGUUUCUGUUAGCUAGUGUAUGCGUAUCUGUCAGUGAAUGUGUGUGUGUAUUUAGAAGGUGGGGCGGGGGCAAGGAUUGGGUGGGGUGGCACGGGGGGAGGGGGCACAAAACCAGGAUACACCACUGAUUAAACCCCAUUUGUUUUUGAAAAGUUCAAAAAAUCUUAUACAGCUACCAAAUACACCCAAAUGUCAUCAAAUCAUUUGUGAAUGAGAGAGAAUUUUUACUGUGAAUUCUACUCCAAGAUCGAAAACUCAACAAUCCCUGUCAUCACUUAAACAUUGAUGAAGUAGCCUUCACGCCGUAACAAAAAUAUGAUAAAAUAAUAGAAACUAGAAUAAGUUAAAGUAUUUAUUUUGGAUUUAGAGCAAGGGUUUGCAAUACUACCUCAUUUUUGGAUCAGCUUUUUCGCCUUUGUGUUCUUUUUUGUUGCUGUUUGAUGUAACAGAGUAUUAGUCAAAUUAACAAGCAAAACGAAGAAUAAAAAAAAUACUAUUCUUUUGUUUAUUUAAAAAAACAAUUAUUAAUGUUUUGGUGGUAGUGUUACUUUAAUGUGUAAGCUUUAAACACCAUUGUGUUAUAUGCAAAAAUAUAUAGAUUGUAAUGUAUUAUUAUGCAUAAUAAUUGUUGUGUAUUUAUUAUUAUUUUUAAUCCUUUACAAUUUAAAUUUGUAUUAUUGACAUAUAUGUUGCACCAGCAAAUUCCACAGUGCUUGACAAUAUCAUUAAGGGGAGUUCAGCAAUAAAUGAGACAAACUGUUACAGAUUUUGACAGGAACCAUAGGUUGAUGAGGACCAUACACACCAGGAAGGGCAGCGUGAGGGAAUGGAACCAAAUGACAGGGUAGAACAUUAGCAGAACUGGACAGUGAGAGUGAAGUGAAGAACGGACCCACUAAUUUAGUUGAGAGAGUAAAAGCAGUUACGUUUGGAUUCUGAAGAGGUGGAUUUUUAAGGACUUUUUUAGGGAAAGUUUUAUGGAAGAUAUAGAGUCAGCGAUGAGAUGCCUGCAAGCGCGAGUUAGCAGUAUGGGUACAUGCAGCAGACAGAAGAUAUUUAACGGCAGAGCGUUGCGUCUAGUGAAGGGGUAUACCUAUGAAUUGGUGAAAAAAAUAUAGGGGGGCACAGGGAGCAGAAUUUCAGUAAUCAAUGAGAUAAACUACAAGAGCACGAACAGGCUCCUUAGCAGCAUCAUGUGUAAGGAAACGGCGGAUGCAGGCAAUGUUUUGUAGAUACAAUUGGCAUGAAUUGGCGACACAUUGGAUAUGACUCGUAAUGUUGGGAUAUAACUGAAAACAAAAAAAAAAAGUGUGAAAGCAGAGGUUAUCGAGGGCCGUACUUGGGCAAGCCGGUUUAUCCCGAAGAAGAGGCCUGAGUGGUUUUAAAAUGCUAGCAUUCAGGAUCUCUAGUUUGCCAAUAACAAUGUAACCCUUACUACAAUGGUCUCCUGUAUAUCUGGACAUGGACUCUUAUACUAUAAACAUGGACUACUCUCUGCUCAGAAACCGCUGCUGAGGAAUACACGAUGCAGAUCACGAAACACAUAUACUCAGAAAGACUAUGCAAAAUUGAAAUACAUAAAAAAAAGCUUAACACGGUGCUGAUGGAUUUUGCCUAAUGUUCCAAAUGGGUCACAAGACUGUUACCUAACUAAGAUAGAUACUUAGACAUUAGAGGUGGCUCACUUUGCAUGAGUACAUAGAUAGCCAUACUAUUUAUUUGAAUAUUUUUUUGUAAUUUUAUUUGAGCUUUUUAAUGCGUAAUUUUAUGCUUAUUUAUUCAUAAAAAUAUAUAUUUUACCAAUGUUACCCAUUUAACACUUUGCAUUAGGCAAGUAGUUGGGAUGCAGCAAACAGGCCAAGCAGAAAUGGUCCUUAAAUAAUAAUGUGGGGAGAAAAUAAUUUAUUAGAUUUCCAAUCUCCCUGCACGACCUGACCCAAACUGCGUUUUGUCCCAUUGAAAUUAUAUUUUGGCUUGCAAGGAAAAUAUCUAGAGGUAAAAGUAGGUCUGAAGGUAUUGUAGAUCCUACCCCAACCUCCCCACACCAAAAAAAAGUAAAAAUUUAAGUAAAGGAGGAUGCAAUCAUAAGACCCCUAGAUGUUCUUACAGUUACGCAGAAACCCUAAGGAAUAAGGGAAAGACCUUGUUUAGAGAAUAGCCCAUUUAAAAUACAAGAAAGACAUGUGAAAACAGUGGAGGCAGUAAAAGGUGUUUAGAAAAUUGCCUUAAAAGACCAAAUUUCUGUUCCAUUUGAAGGAACCAUCCAAACGUAUAAAGCAGAGAUUGCAGUAGCUCGAUAUACCGGAUCUACAGCUAUUGCAAGCCAACAUUUCAUAUAUCCCCAAAGAAAACACAAAACAAAUUACUUAAAGGACCACUAUAGUGCCAGGAAAACAUACUCGUUUUCCUGGCACUAUAGUGCCCUGAGGGUGCGCCCACCCUCACGGACCCCCUCCCGCCCGGCUCUGGGGAGAGGAAAGGGGUAAAAACGUACCUUUUUCCAGCGCUGGGCGGGGAGCUCUCCUCUUCCGAUCCUCCUCCGAUCCUCCCCUUCGGCUGAAUGCGCACGUGCUGCAAGAGCUGCGCGCGCAUUCAGCCGGUCGCAUAGGAAAGCAUUCACAAUGCUUUCCUAUGGACACUGGCGUGCUCUCACUGUGAAAAUCACAGUGAGAAGCACGCUAGCGCCUCUAGCGGCUGUCAAUGAGACAGCCGCUAGAGGCUUUGGGGGAAGGAUUAACCCAUUCACAAACAUAGCAGUUUCUCUGAAACUGCUAUGUUUAUAAAAGAAUGGGUUAACCCUAGCUGGACCUGGCACCCAGACCACUUCAUUAAGCUGAAGUGGUCUGGGUGCCUAGAGUGGUCCUUUAACGGUUACAUUGUCUCAUGGAUUAUUCCUUCAAUUAUGUACGAUUUAACAUUUAGCAAACUAUGAUGCAUUUUAUUCAUUACUGUUUGGAAUGUUCCGGUAUUUGUGGAAAGUAAAAAAUGUUGCACUCUUUCGUAAAAAAUUUAAAUUAAAAAAGGAGAUCUUGUAUAUUCACUGCUGUAAUUUGCCAUAAUAUGUUAUGUUUAUAAUAAAUGCUGAGUAACUGAAAUAAAG
This 12238-nucleotide long non-coding RNA is filed under the name Pelobates cultripes (western spadefoot toad). The record is from RNAcentral. Lineage: Eukaryota; Metazoa; Chordata; Amphibia; Anura; Pelobatidae.